Long non-coding RNA from Syzygium oleosum, 1580 nucleotides. RefSeq lists it as uncharacterized. The record is from RefSeq and is a predicted model, not a curated record. Lineage: Eukaryota; Viridiplantae; Streptophyta; Magnoliopsida; Myrtales; Myrtaceae. The transcript is spliced from 2 exons.
AGUAUUAUUAGGAUUUUAUGAAGUUUUUUUUUUUUUUAAAGGUUGAGUGGUAGGAUCUUACGUUACUCCAAUUAUGUUUCUUGUUUAGAGGUUUCCUAUUUCAACUAGGAGAAGAACUUUUAGAGAGUCUACAAAUAUAGUUGUAAUUUUUACUUUUCAAAGUUGAUAAUUUAUUGAACUUGGCAAGUUCUUGCUUUGCAGAUUGUGUGAUGCAAUUCCUCUUUGGUGUGAUGUUUAAGAAACUCUAGGCGUGAUGCCUAGGCAGUUUUGCGUGUGAUGCGUAAAAAUUCAUUCUUUAUGGUGGGACUCAUUGUCCUCCAUCAAAGCCAUAAAAUGUUUUUGACACUACAUUGUUGAUGCAUGAGUUAAAUUAUGAAUCAAGGAAAUUGAUACUCAUAUUUAAUCGGUGAAUCAGCAGUGAAUUACUUUAAUCACAUAUCAUACAGAAUGAAUAUACUCAUUCAAUAGAUUUAUAUACUUUAGGACUUGAAUCUGAUCGAUGUGCUCAAUUGCAUUCUUGUGUAGAACAAAAAAAUUUCACCUCGCUACUAAUGUUGUCAUCAAUGAUUGAAACUAUUUCAAAUGACAACUACAAAUUACAGGAUAGUGUUUACUGGGGUCCGGCUCAUUGUGAGAAUCUAUGGUCUAAGUGGAUGGUGUCUUGUAGAAGCAUUCAUCUGUGACUUGCUCAUUUUCAUCAAGAUUAAUAGCUUCUUUUCGAUUAUUAGUAAAAUAUGUUCAGUUCAGUCAAAUUAGGAAGGUAAUAAUUUAGGUGACUCUUAAAAGAUAGAUUGUAUGUGCCUCAAUUAUGCUUGUGGGUGGAAAAGUUUGUAAAUAUCGGGUUAUGUUUUUAUUAAGCUAUAGCUGCUUGGUCAUGAGUAGAAUGGCUGAGAACUUGGCUGAGGCUGCUGCAAUUCUGUUUCUUUGACAUUUCUACCAGUUUAUUAUUAAUCGUCCACUUCAUGGAUUGCAUUUUGCUGAGAGGAGAAUAUGUUUGUGCAUAAUGAAUGUUCUCUUAGCAAAGUAGCUGUCUUUAUGGAACUAUGGAUAUGCGGUGUGCUGCUUUGGAUAUGCUGGCGCUUGCAGUAGUUAUGCACACUGUGGUAUAAUCAUUUCUAACAUGGUAUAAAUAUUAAGCAGAAUGGAAAACUGUUAAGAAGCUUGAAGUCCCAUAUGGCAGCUGUGGUAUGUCUCAACUGGGAGGAGGAUGCCCAAGUGAAUAGAAACGCUUCUGGUAACUCUUUGGCAUUUGAAGAUCGCACUACUCAAUUCUUCCCUUCAGCUCCAAGAGUUCCUUGCAUGCCUGGACUAGUACCCGGAGAUGCUGGUUUGACUUACGAUGGUCAAGAUUCAUUUGUAGAGCUCUCAAAUUCUUCAAAGCACAAUAUCCUUUGCAGUGGAGAUAAAGAUGGGGUUUUGUGCUUCAGUAUAUUUGGUGUCUUUCUAAUUGGAAAUAUUGUAAGGGUCAUGUCUGUUCAAAUCAAAUAUUUAGCAGUAUGGUCUAUCAGAUUCAGUCGAUGAGUCCUUUCCCUGUUCUUGCUUCUCAUUCAGCAGUUUUUCUUAAUAAAUGGAUUUGAUGG